This 439-nucleotide ribosomal RNA is filed under the name uncultured bacterium. RNAcentral describes it as "partial 16S ribosomal RNA". It matches the Rfam family "Bacterial small subunit ribosomal RNA", at positions 339 to 795 of the family's 1533-position model. The record is from RNAcentral.
CUACGGGGGGCAGCAGUGAGGAAUAUUGCACAAUGGGGGGAACCCUGAUGCAGCAACGCCGCGUGGAGGAUGACGCAUUUCGGUGUGUAAACUCCUUUUAUAUGUCAAGAAAAUGACGGUAGCAUAUGAAUAAGCACCGGCUAACUCCGUGCCAGCAGCCGCGGUAAUACGGAGGGUGCAAGCGUUACUCGGAAUCACUGGGCGUAAAGGACGCGUAGGCGGGUUGGAAAGUCAGGUGUGAAAUCCUACAGCUUAACUGUAGAACUGCACUUGAAACUUCUAAUCUAGAGUAUGGGAGGGGGGGAUGGAAUUAGUGGUGUAGGGGUAAAAUCCGUAGAUAUCACUAGGAAUACCUAAAGCGGAGGCGAUCUCCUGGAACAUUACUGACGCUAAGGCGUGAAAGCGUGGGGAGCAAACAGGAUUAGAUACCCUCGUAGUC